Molecule: ribosomal RNA, 468 nt
Filed under: uncultured bacterium
Lineage: Bacteria
Description: partial 16S ribosomal RNA
Rfam family: Bacterial small subunit ribosomal RNA
Source: RNAcentral
GACGAACGCUGGCGGCGUGCUUAACACAUGCAAGUCGAACGGAUAGGCCCUGCUUUUGUGGUGUGCUCGAGUGGCGAACGGGUUUGUAACACGUGAGUAACCUGCCCUUGACUUUGGGAUAACUUCAGGAAACUGGGGCUAAUACCGGAUAGGAGCUCCUGCUGCAUGGUGGGGGUUGGAAAGUUUCGGCGGUUGGGGAUGGACUCGCGGCUUAUGAGCUUGUUGGUGGGGUAGUGGCUUACCAAGGCUUUGACGGGUAGCCGGCCUGAGAGGGUGACCGGCCACAUUGGGACUGAGAUACGGCCCAGACUCCUACGGGAGGCAGCAGUGGGGAAUAUUGCACAAUGGGCGGAAGCCUGAUGCAGCAACGCCGCGUGCGGGAUGACGGCCUUCGGGUUGUAAACCGCUUUCGCCUGUGACGAAGCGUGAGUGACGGUAAUGGGUAAAGAAGCACCGGCUAACUACGUG